AUUGAACGCUGGCGGCAUGCCUUACACAUGCAAGUCGAACGGCAGCACGGGGCAACCUGGUGGCGAGUGGCGAACGGGUGAGUAAUGCAUCGGAACGUGCCAUUGAGUGGGGGAUAACGUAGCGAAAGUUACGCUAAUACCGCAUAUUCUGUGAGCAGGAAAGCAGGGGAUCGCAAGACCUUGCGCUGAUUGAGCGGCCGAUGUCAGAUUAGCUAGUUGGUGAGGUAAAGGCUCACCAAGGCGACGAUCUGUAGCGGGUCUGAGAGGAUGAUCCGCCACACUGGAACUGAGACACGGUCCAGACUCCUACGGGAGGCAGCAGUGGGGAAUUUUGGACAAUGGGGGCAACCCUGAUCCAGCCAUGCCGCGUGAGUGAAGAAGGCCUC
Molecule: ribosomal RNA, 386 nt
Filed under: uncultured bacterium
Lineage: Bacteria
Description: bacterial SSU rRNA
Rfam family: Bacterial small subunit ribosomal RNA
Source: RNAcentral